This 376-nucleotide ribosomal RNA is filed under the name uncultured bacterium. RNAcentral describes it as "bacterial SSU rRNA". It matches the Rfam family "Bacterial small subunit ribosomal RNA", at positions 521 to 896 of the family's 1533-position model. The record is from RNAcentral.
UAAUACGUAGGGUGCAGGCGUUAAUCGGAAUUACUGGGCGUAAAGCGUGCGCAGGCGGUUUGCUAAGACAGGUGUGAAAUCCCCGGGCUUAACCUGGGAACUGCGCUUGUAACUGGCAAGCUAGAGUGUGGCAGAGGGGGGUGGAAUUCCACGUGUAGCAGUGAAAUGCGUAGAGAUGUGGAGGAACACCGAUGGCGAAGGCAGCCCCCUGGGCUAACACUGACGCUCAUGCACGAAAGCGUGGGGAGCAAACAGGAUUAGAUACCCUGGUAGUCCACGCCCUAAACGAUGACGACUAGAUGUCGGAGGGGUCUGCCUUUCGGUGUCGUAGCUAACGCGUUAAGUCGUCCGCCUGGGGAGUACGGCCGCAAGGUUG